RNAcentral lists this unclassified non-coding RNA (433 nucleotides) under soil metagenome. Its description in RNAcentral is "partial contains 5.8S ribosomal RNA, internal transcribed spacer 2, and large subunit ribosomal RNA". The stretch from base 1 to 120 matches the Rfam family "5.8S ribosomal RNA", at positions 35 to 154 of the family's 154-position model. The record is from RNAcentral.
GAUGAAGAACGUAGCGAAAUGCGAUUCGUAAUGUGAAUUGCAGAAUUCAGUGAAUCAUCGAAUCUUUGAACGCAUAUUGCGCUCUCUGGUAUUCCGGAGAGCAUGCUUGUUUGAGUAUCAGUAAACACCUCAACUUCCAUAUCUUUUUUGAAAUGGGAGUUGGACUUGAGUGAUCCCAACGCUUUUCCUCACCGAAAAGUGGCGGGUUACUUGAAAUGCAGGUGCAGCUGGACUUUUCUCUGAGCUAUAAGCAUAUCUAUUUAGUCUGCCUAAAAAACAGAUUAUUACCUUUGCUGCAGCUAACAUAAAGGAGAUUAGUUCUUGUGCUGACUGAUGCAGGAUUCACAAAGACAGGCUUCGGCCGACUUUGUAAACUCGAUCUCAAAUCAAGUAAGACUACCCGCUGAACUUAAGCAUAUCAAUAAGCGGAGGA